RNAcentral lists this ribosomal RNA (492 nucleotides) under uncultured bacterium. Its description in RNAcentral is "partial 16S ribosomal RNA". It matches the Rfam family "Bacterial small subunit ribosomal RNA", at positions 29 to 507 of the family's 1533-position model. The record is from RNAcentral.
AGUGAACGCUGGCGGUAGGCCUAACACAUGCAAGUCGAACGGCCGCACAGUAAGAGCUUUCCCUUACGGGUGGCGAGUGGCGGACGGGUGAGGAAUACAUCGGAAUCUACUUUGUCGUGGGGGAUAACGUAGGGAAACUUACGCUAAUACCGCAUACGACCUACGGGUGAAAGCAGGGGAUCUUCGGACCUUGCGCGAUAGAAUGAGCCGAUGUCGGAUUAGCUAGUUGGCGGGGUAAAGGCCCACCAAGGCGACGAUACGUAGCUGGUCUGAGAGGAUGAUCAGCCACACUGGAACUGAGACACGGUCCAGACUCCUACGGGAGGCAGCAGUGGGGAAUAUUGGACAAUGGGCGCAAGCCUGAUCCAGCCAUACCGCGUGGGUGAAGAAGGCCUUCGGGUUGUAAAGCCCUUUUGUUGGGAAAGAAAAGAAGCAGGUUAAUCCCCCGAUGUUCUGACGGUACCCAAAGAAUAAGCAACGGCUAACUACGUG